RNAcentral lists this ribosomal RNA (496 nucleotides) under uncultured bacterium. Its description in RNAcentral is "SSU rRNA". It matches the Rfam family "Bacterial small subunit ribosomal RNA", at positions 26 to 523 of the family's 1533-position model. The record is from RNAcentral.
AGAAUAAACGCUGGCGGCGUGCCUAACACAUGCAAGUCGAGCGCGAAAGGUCUUCGGACUUAGUAAAGCGGCGGACGGGUGAGUAACGCGUGGGAAUCUGCCCUUCAGUGAGGAAUACCUCCGGGAAACCGGGGUUAAUACUGCAUACGUUCCGUAAGGAAGAAAGGUGGCCUCUUUGCUACCGCUGAUGGAUGAGCCUGCGUACUAUUAGCUAGUUGGUAGGGUAAUGGCCUACCAAGGCAGAGAUGGUUAGCCGGCCUGAGAGGGUGUACGGCCACAUUGGAACUGAGACACGGUCCAGACUCCUACGGGAGGCAGCAGUGAGGAAUAUUGCGCAAUGGACGAAAGUCUGACGCAGCGACGCCGCGUGGAGGAUGAAGGUCUUCGGAUUGUAAACUUCUGUUAAGUGGGGAGAAAUGCACAAUCCUAAUAUGAUUGUGAGAUGACGGUACACUAGAGAAAGCACUGGCUAAUCUCGUGCCAGCAGCCGCGGUAA